Gadus morhua (Atlantic cod) is the source of this 1297-nucleotide long non-coding RNA. RefSeq lists it as uncharacterized. The record is from RefSeq and is a predicted model, not a curated record. NCBI's taxonomy places the organism in Eukaryota, Metazoa, Chordata, Actinopteri, Gadiformes, Gadidae. The transcript has 4 exons.
UUCACAAAGCAUUCUUAGGAAGAAAAAAGUUCUUAAGUAGCACUUUUUUCUUAACUAUGUUCUUAAGACAAAAUUUAAGAAGAUUUGAUAUUCUUGAAGAAUUUCUUAGUUUUUUCUUAACUUUUUUCUCAACUUUCUUCUUAAGUUUUUUCCUAAGUUCCUACGUUUUUUCCUAAGAAAGUACUUAAGAACAAAUGAGAUUCUUGAAGACAAAGUUCUUGAAUUUCUUCUCAAAUUUCUUCACAACUUUAAGAUAACCCUUCACCAGUCUUAAACCAGCUGAAGUGAAAAGAUGGAAGUUCUUUGGGUGGCAGUUAGGGAGGAAAAUCCACCAAGGCCAUUGAGAGACAGAAUGGAUCCGCUCAUACUCCCUGAUCACAUGUUGAUUCGACAAUAUAGGCUCCCUAGGCCUGCAAUUAUUUAUUUGGCAGAUAUGCUUUGACCUGAAAAGGAAAACAAGGCGAUCGUCACCCCUUCCGGUUGUAACGCAAAUUUUGGCUGCCCUGAGAUUUUUUGCCUCUGGGUCUUUUCAAAUGGUGGUGGGGGGCACCCUGGGUGUGAGCCAAUCAUCCGUUAGCCGAGUGGUCAGAGAUGUCACAAAUGCACUCUGUAGAAGAGCACGGCAGUUCAUCAAGUUUCCAGCAACAGACGCAGAAUGCAUUCAAACCAAACAGAAAUUCUUUGAAAUAGCUGGAUUUCCAAACGUGCUGGGGGCAGUUGAUGGGACACAUAUUGCAAUCAAAGCACCAAGUGAUGAGGAGGAUGGCUUUGUCAAUAGAAAGAACUUCCACUCCAUUAACACUCAGGUGAUCUGUGAUGCAACACUAAGGGUUACUGACCUUGUGGCAAGGUGGCCAGGCAGUACCCAUGACUCCUUCAUAUUGAUGAAUUCGGGAACUUAUUAAAUUUAAUUUAAUGAAGGAGAAAUGCCAGAUGGAUGGUUGUUAGGUGAUAGUGGCUACGCUCUACGACCAUGGCUGAUGACUCCAAUCCUCCACCCAGCAACAGAGCCUGAACAGCGCUACAGCCGUGCGCAACGCAAAACCAGAAGUGUUGUGGAGAGGUGCAUUGGGGUUGUCAAAUCCAGAUUUUGAUGCAUUGACCGCUCUGGUGGAGUGCUCCAAUACACCCCUGAAAAGGGGUGUAAAAUCAUCACCUGUGCCUUCAUCCUGCACAACAUCUGCAUGAUGUACCGGCUGCCUCUUCCGGAUGUUCCAGACCACCAUGAACCAGAGGGAGAUGGCCCCGUCCCCGCCCCAUGUAAUACCGGCAUUCAAGUGAGACAAGAGCUUGUAAG